AGUGAACGCUGGCGGUAGGCCUAACACAUGCAAGUCGAACGGCAGCACAGUAAGAGCUUGCUCUUACGGGUGGCGAGUGGCGGACGGGUGAGGCAUACAUCGGAAUCUACUUUUUCGUGGGGGAUAACGUAGGGAAACUUACGCUAAUACCGCAUACGACCUACGGGUGAAAGCAGGGGAUCUUCGGACCUUGCGCGAUUGAAUGAGCCGAUGUCGGAUUAGCUAGUUGGCGGGGUAAAGGCCCACCAAGGCGACGAUCCGUAGCUGGUCUGAGAGGAUGAUCAGCCACACUGGAACUGAGACACGGUCCAGACCCCUACGGGAGGCAGCAGUGGGGAAUAUUGGACAAUGGGCGCAAGCCUGAUCCAGCCAUACCGCGUGGGUGAAGAAGGCCUUCGGGUUGUAAAGCCCUGUUGUUGGGAAAGAAAAGCAGCAGGUUAAUACCCCGCUGUUCUGACGGUACCCAAAGAAUAAGCACCGGCUAACUUCGUG
This 492-nucleotide ribosomal RNA is filed under the name uncultured bacterium. RNAcentral describes it as "partial 16S ribosomal RNA". It matches the Rfam family "Bacterial small subunit ribosomal RNA", at positions 29 to 507 of the family's 1533-position model. The record is from RNAcentral.